RNAcentral lists this ribosomal RNA (425 nucleotides) under uncultured bacterium. RNAcentral's name for it is "bacterial SSU rRNA". It matches the Rfam family "Bacterial small subunit ribosomal RNA", at positions 354 to 796 of the family's 1533-position model. The record is from RNAcentral.
GUGGGGAAUCUUGCACAAUGGGGGAAACCCUGAUGCAGCGACGCCGCGUGAACGAUGAAGCCCUUCGGGGUGUAAAGUUCUUUCGGCAGGGACGAUCAUGACUGUACCUGCAGAAGCAGCUGCGGCUAACUACGUGCCAGCAGCCGCGGUAAUACGUAGGCAGCAAGCGUUGUUCGGAAUUACUGGGCGUAAAGAGUGCGUAGGUGGUUGACUAAGUUUGGUGUGAAAUCUCCCGGCUUAACUGGGAGGGUGCGCCGAAAACUGGUUAGCUAGAGUGUGGGAGAGGGAAGCGGAAUUCCUGGUGUAGCGGUGAAAUGCGUAGAUAUCAGGAGGAACGCCUGCGGUGUAGACGGCUUCCUGGACCAUGACUGACACUGAGGCACGAAAGCGUGGGUAGCAAACAGGAUUAGAAACCCUUGUAGUCC